This 440-nucleotide ribosomal RNA is filed under the name uncultured bacterium. Its description in RNAcentral is "partial 16S ribosomal RNA". It matches the Rfam family "Bacterial small subunit ribosomal RNA", at positions 339 to 795 of the family's 1533-position model. The record is from RNAcentral.
CUACGGGUUGCACCAGUGGGGAAUUUUGCGCAAUGGGCGGAAGCCUGACGCAGCAACGCCGCGUGAGGGAUGAAGGUCUUCGGAUUGUAAACCUCUGUCAAGUGGGAAGAACCCUGACGGUACCACUGGAGGAAGCCCCGGCUAACUCCGUGCCAGCAGCCGCGGUAAUACGGAGGGGGCAAGCGUUGUUCGGAAUCAUUGGGCGUAAAGCGUAUGUAGGCGGCCGGAUAAGUCAGGCGUGCAAGCCCAUGGCUUAACCAUGGAAUUGCGUCUGAAACUAUCUGGCUUGAGGACAGGAGAGGAAAGCGGAAUUCCCAGUGUAGCGGUGAAAUGCGUUGAUAUUGGGAAGAACACCGGUGGCGAAGGCGGCUUUCUGGCCUGUUUCUGACGCUGAGAUACGAAAGCCAGGGGAGCGAACGGGAUUAGAUACCCUGGUAGUC